Molecule: unclassified non-coding RNA, 279 nt
Filed under: plant metagenome
Description: partial contains small subunit ribosomal RNA, internal transcribed spacer 1, and 5.8S ribosomal RNA
Source: RNAcentral
UCUCCGUAGGUGAACCUGCGGAGGGAUCAUUACAGAGUUCAUGCCCUUACGGGUAUAUCUCCCACCCUGUGUUAUUAUUACCUUUGUUGCUUUGGCGGGCCGUCCGGCUUCGGCCAGGCUACCGUCUCCGGCUGGUAAGCGCCCGCCAGAGGACCUAAAACCCUUAACGGUAGUUUCGGCUUAGUACGAUAGAAUAGUUAAAACUUUCAACAACGGAUCUCUUGGUUCUGGCAUCGAUGAAGAACGCACCAGACCGGAAAAACACACGUCGGAAGUCCA